AGGGGGGGUUUGAUCCUGGCUCAGAAUGAACGUUGGCGGCGUGGAUUAGGCAUGCAAGUCGGGCGCCCCGCGAGGGGCGUGGCGCAAGGGUGAGUAAGGCNAACGGCAACCAACCCCCCGGCUGGGUAUAGCCGCGGAAAUNUGCGGUUANNCCCCAGCGACGUCGCGGCGGUGGCAUCACCGCCCGACCAAAGGUGCGAUUCCGCCGGGGGACGGGCCGUCGUGGUAUCAGCUUGUUGGCGGGGUAACGGCCCACCAAGGCUGGGACGCCUACCGGGCGUGCGAGCGUGGCCCGGCACACUGGGACUGAGACACUGCCCAGACACCUACGGGUUGGCUGCAGUCGAGAAUCUUCGANAAUGGGNCGCAAGCCNUGACCGAGCGACGCCGCGUGGAAGGACGACGGNCCUUNCGGGUUUGUAAACUCCUUGUCGAGGGGGAACNAAGGCCGCGCNAA
This 457-nucleotide ribosomal RNA is filed under the name uncultured bacterium. RNAcentral's name for it is "partial 16S ribosomal RNA". It matches the Rfam family "Bacterial small subunit ribosomal RNA", at positions 9 to 461 of the family's 1533-position model. The record is from RNAcentral.